Molecule: ribosomal RNA, 253 nt
Filed under: uncultured bacterium
Lineage: Bacteria
Description: partial 16S ribosomal RNA
Rfam family: Bacterial small subunit ribosomal RNA
Source: RNAcentral
UACGUAGGUGACAAGCGUUGUCCGGAUUUACUGGGCGUAAAGAGCGCGCAGGCGGUCGAUCAAGUCGAGUGUGAAAGCCCCCGGCUCAACUGGGGAGGGUCAUUCGAUACUGAUCGACUCGAAGGCAGGAGAGGGUAGUGGAAUUCCCGGUGUAGUGGUGAAAUGCGUAGAUAUCGGGAGGAACACCAGUGGCGAAGGCGACUACCUGGCCUGUAAUUGACGCUGAGGCGCGAAAGCGAGGGGAGCAAACGGG